RNAcentral lists this ribosomal RNA (388 nucleotides) under uncultured bacterium. RNAcentral describes it as "partial 16S ribosomal RNA". It matches the Rfam family "Bacterial small subunit ribosomal RNA", at positions 523 to 911 of the family's 1533-position model. The record is from RNAcentral.
AUACGUAGGGUGCAAGCGUUAAUCGGAAUUACUGGGCGUAAAGCGUGCGCAGGCGGUUUUGUAAGACAGAGGUGAAAUCCCCGGGCUCAACCUGGGAACUGCCUUUGUGACUGCCAGGCUAGAGUACGGCAGAGGGGGAUGGAAUUCCGCGUGUAGCAGUGAAAUGCGUAGAUAUGCGGAGGAAAACCAAUGGCGAAGGCAAUCCCCGGAGCCUGUACGGACACUCAUGCACGAAAGCGUGGUGAGCAAACAGGAUUAGAUACCCUGGGAGUCCACGCCCUAAACGAUGUCAACUGGUUGUUGGGUCUUCAUUGACUCAGUAACGAAGCUAACGCGUAAAGUUGACCGCCUGAGGAGUACGGCCGCAAGGUUGAAACUCAAAUGAAUU